CGCCCCUCUUGCGCUGGAGCUGCCGCAGCGCCCCCUGCCGGCGGAGCUGGCGCAGACCGAGGGACCCACCGCGCAGUGCUCAGAACCUGGGCUUUGGUUUUGACUGUUUACCCUUGAGCUGAAAUGCGGCAGUCAAGCUCCAUGUCUAUUGGUAGCGAGUGAUUCCUUGUUAAAGACAGGAGAAAGGAUUUCUCUAUGAUAAAUACAGGACUUACUGAAAAUUGAACUAGUCAAAGCCGGGUGUGGCAGUGCGCACCUGCAAUCCCACCACUCCAGGAGGCUGAGGCAGGAGGACCACAAGCGUGAAGCCCGGCUUUCAUUGGGAAACUUCGCGACUUACUGAGACCCGCUCUCGGAUUUCUUUAAAAAGGCAAAAGGGUGGGGGAUGUAGCUCAGUGCAAAGGGUCUGGGUUCAAACCCGCUACCAAAGCAAGAGACUUCAUCUUCCCAGGAAGAGGGAGACAAACUUCAUCUUGCAUCUCUGCCAAGUGUUAGGUCAUCUCGGUGCUCAGCGAGGCUGUGGCGCCGGAGUCGGGUUGCUGGGUCUCCCUGGAGAAUCUUCCGGGCCCGGGUCGGCGCAGGCUAACUGGGAAGCCAGCCCCGCGGCCCCGAGGCCACCACCACCCUGCUGUGGACACGGGACUGUUCAGCUCAGCCGGAGUGGGAUCUCGCAGGAGCAUUCGGGAGCCAUGGGCGGGCUAACUGGAAGUACAGUGGACCCUUGACUUAGGGACGUGAUCAGUUCCGGAGGGCUGGUUGUAACUCAAGUUGGUGGAAACAGUUGCGGAGCACUGACUGCCGGCCCGGUCCGGCUCCGGAGGCUGGAGAUGUAAGAAGAAGCAGCAGAGCGGAUUUUCUGUCCCUCAGUUCCCAGGACAGUGUGGCACAGUGGCUGAUGCUGGUGCCGAAGUCAGAGGAUCAGAGCUUCAGGCUGGGACAUAUCUGGAUCCUGCUGCAGCAAAUAUUCACAGUAUUUCUACAGACAGCCAGGACAGAGCUUUGAACAGGCGGUUCACCGAAUCCAGCAGUGUGCUGGUCCUGGCUUACCAACCAGCUGCUUGGAAAAGAGCAGAAGUCCUCAGUUACAGACAGAUCAUCAGACUAUAUCUGUCAAAGAUCUCAGUGAAUGUGGAAAGUGUCGUGAAAAUGAGAAGCCGUUCAAAACAAGCAGAACAGAAUAACCUGGUGAGGAGAACAUGCAGGAGGCACCACCAAGUGGCAGAGGCAGGCGGCUUGCAAGACACACGGCUUUCAUCCUGAGAACAACGGAACUACUGAAGGAACUUAGCGAAGAAGGGAUGGGCAGGGGUGACAGUGGGACUUAUCCAUGUGGCUUUUGGCUUAGAGACGCAGGACAGGUGGCAGCUCUGUCCUGAAAUGGGAGCAGGAGACGCAGACUAAGCUGCAAUUGGGAGUAGGCACUGAGGGGAGGGCCGAGGCUCAGGGGGUUUGGAUUCAACUCCUCAGUGUAAAGUUGACAACCGGUGAGGUUGUACAGGAGACAGGGACAGAGGAGCUCAGACUGUGAAAGGACAGGCAGAGAAAAGCCCUGGCCCGCCCCCCAAAAUGGUCAGAGAGGUAGCUGGAAAAUCAGAAAUAGACGACAUAUUAAAACUUGUAGCAGGCUGGGGAUGUAGCCUGGUGGUAAAGCAUGCAUGAAGCCCUGGAUUACACACACACACACACACACACACACACACACACACAUAACUUGCUCACUGCUCCCACACAUGCUCAUUGCUUGGGUCCUGUUAUUAGAAAUAAGUUUACUUAUGACAAAAUGUGACUUGUUUAUAUAUGAAACAAGCAGCGAUUCCUCAUUUGGAUCACAGGGCU
This 1836-nucleotide long non-coding RNA is filed under the name Heterocephalus glaber (naked mole-rat). RNAcentral's name for it is "lncRNA (ENSHGLG00100049715.1)". The record is from RNAcentral. Lineage: Eukaryota; Metazoa; Chordata; Mammalia; Rodentia; Bathyergidae.